Long non-coding RNA from Caretta caretta (loggerhead turtle), 3228 nucleotides. RefSeq lists it as uncharacterized. The record is from RefSeq and is a predicted model, not a curated record. Lineage: Eukaryota; Metazoa; Chordata; Testudines; Cheloniidae.
UAUUCUAGGAAGUGAGCUGACUGGCAGGAAUGUUGUUGGCAACAGUGAAUAUGGGAAAAUAUUCCCAAAACACAGGGCUCAGGUCUGAUGUACUUCACCACCCUUUACAUCACAACUGAAUAUGAACCAUAGCUGCCUGGCUGUCAACCCAGCAGCUUUCACCAGCUCUACAGUCAUAUAUCACCAAACGGAAGAAAGAAAGAAAGAAAGAAAGAAACCAACCAACCAACCAACCAACCAACCAACCAACCAAACAAACAAACAAACAAACAAACAGACAUAUUUGGGGAGAGCUGAAGUACAGCGGGAUUAAAUGAUUUGCCCAAGGGCACAGAGCAAGUGAGCAAGGAUGAGGUAUGACCAAGAAGGGAGUUUAGGCUCCACCUCCAGUUCUAUUGAGCAUGAAGCAGUUGCAGGGACUCUACGCUUCCCAAAACCAGAACAUCAGUACUUCAGGUGAGGUACUGAAAAUACAGUGUUCUUGUGAACUCCGCCCCACUUUCAGAGAGGGGACUCAAAAGGCCUGAUUUCCCCACACCUCAUAGGAUAAAAGUUCCUGCAAUCAAACAUAAGGGCAGUUACUUGUAUCCUAAUGACGGGGGGAGGGAAGUGGAAGCUGAGACACACAAUGGAGGAUGAACAAGCGAGUGCUUGAAGAACAUCACCAUGGUGAAGGGGAAAAAGGGAUAUGAACAAAUACUGACCGUCUACAGAUGGAAAUCAGAGAAAACAGAGCAGCAAUCUGAAGGUGAAUCUCUCAACAGUAUUUAGUCCUACCGUGCACUUCCUUCACUGUAGCUCCUUCUCCUUUUAUUCUUUUUAAAUUUGGGCAUCAUUGUAUUUUUGGACAAUCAAAAGCUGCAAUGAAUGUUUGGUACAGGACUACCCCACCCCCCAACACCACACAUAUGCUUUCAUCAUGUGUUGUAUUGUCAAACCAAUGACAUAUUGAGCUUAUUUCUGGUGGCACAAGCUCCCUAACGCACGCUGCUUAUGUGUCUCAGUUUGGUCAUUCUCCGGGAUCCAUUUAGUUGUUGCCUUCCCUGCAAAGAACACCAUCAAAGGACAAUACGUAGUACCAAUUGUGAAGGGUCCUUUUAUAGUAUAGAAACGUAACCUCCAGGAACUGAAGUGAGACCCCCCAACACAGUUCACAUAGACCUCUGAACACCUGUCACAUGAUAACUUUCCAUCAUCACUGACAUGCCACAUUUAAACUAGGGAGCUAAAGGCCAAAAGGUUCACACUCUAUUACCAAUUUCCUCAUUUAUCCAGUCCCCCAAAGCCUACAUUAAUUAACCCCCACACUGGCCUUUGGGAAAUCAUUAAGAGUUUAGAAGCCAUGCUGUCUGAUUCUCAAGGAGACCCUACUUAUCAAUGGUUACCUUUCUGUUCCAGUAUAGAGAGAUUAAGGGAGAGAAUUUUCAAUAUACAGGUUACUGUAUGGACCAACCUGAGGUUACCAAACUCAAUUUAAUCUGAGUUCCCUACUGGUCUUUGAACAUUGCAGCCUCUUCCUUUAGCUCCCUAGGCCUUCAAGAGUAAGUAAGGAAAUUAUGGUUCUUUGUUUUCUCUGUGUAUCCUUUACAGAAUGCUAAAUACUGCACUGUGAAGCUAUAAGAUUACAUUGGAAAUGGAAAGGGAAGGGUUUGGCUUUCAAUAAAUUGUACUAGUGCUAUAAGUAGCAUUUAGGUAAUUGUCUAGGGGGUUAUUUUUUCACUUGGACAACUCCAUUUUUCCUAAAAUAGAUUUUUGUAGAGGCUGCAUACAGUAGAUUUGUCUCUGCCCCUCUUUUGGCUCUUUGCCUGUUUCAUUGGCACAGGCUGGCACCAUUAGUGGGCAUUAGAACAUAAGAAUAGCCAUACUGAGUCAGGCCAAAGUUCCAUCUAGCCAAGUAUCCUGUCUUCCAAUAGUGGCCAAUGCCAGGUGCUCCAGAGGAAAUGAACAGAACAGGUAAUCAUCAAGUGAUCCAUCCCCUGUGGCUCAUUCCCAGCUUAUGGCAAACAAAGGCUAGGGACACCAUCCCUGCCCAAACUAUUUUGGUCUUUCAUUCACGUCAUGUACAGCUUAGAAGAGCAUAUGCUUCUUUGGAAGGAUGGUCCAAUGGUUAGACAACUAACUGGAGCUUGGGAUGUCAGCCUUCAAUUCCCUGCUCCACCACAGACUUCCUGUGUGAUACUUAAUCUCUCUGUGCCUCAGUUCCCCAUCUGCAAAAUGGGAAUAAAAGCAUAGCCCUACCUCACACAGGUGUUGUGAGGAUGAAUAUAUUAAAGAUUGUGAGGUGCUCAGUUAUUCUGGUGGUUGAACAAGUACCUUAGAUAUGCUACUUUAUUGAUAAAGAAUAGAUGUUAGAUCAGAUUAGGUGUUUGCUGUGUGAAUUAGAUAAAUAUUGAAGCAGAUCAUGAACUGAUCAAGAGAGAUUGAAUGAAGCAUCCAUGUGCACUAUACGAGCCACCUACAGGUAGCAUUAUCAGACUAUGGGGUUGUGACGUUGCACUCUAUAUGAUUUUAUAAAAAUAUGCUAAUGAGCGUGAAAAUUCUGUAACUGGAAUAUGCUUCAUGCAAAAGGUCUCUUGUAAGGUAUCAAUACAAAGCUUAUAAUCUACUGAGUGUGUUCCUAUUUGUAUAAAUGUAUCACUCUUGUAUCUGAAACUAGAAAUAUGAAAUAUAACUCUCAGGUCCUAUUGUAGUUAUGCAAAGUGUGGGCCAUUAAUGGUGGUUUGGAAUCUUAAUGGCUCCCAUUAACCAGGACAGUUGACUGUAGAUGGCUCUGUUUUACUUGUAAGUCUUCCUGGCUGGCAAGUGGGUAAUGAAGUCUUACAGUGACAUGUGAUCAUGUCACCUGAACUGGAAUCCAUCUUUAACCUGGUGCUUUUCCAUUGAGAAGGAGGGGGUGCAAACCCAGAGGGUCAAAGGAUUCCUGCCUUAGGCAAAAGGUAUAUAAGUGGAUGAAACAAAACAAAGAGAGGCGGCCAUCAUGAGAAAUCCCCUAGCUACCACCUGAGCUGGAACAAGGGCUGUACCAGGGGAAAGGAUUCAGCCCAGACUAGGAAGGUGUCCAGUCUGUGAAAGAAACUUAUUGAAACAUCUCUGAGGGUGAGAUUCUAUCUGUAUUCAGUUUUAUUACUGUACUAGGCUUAGACUUGCAUGUUUUCUUUUAUUUUGCUUGGUAAUUCACUUUGUUCUGUCUGCUAUUACUUGGAACCACUUAAAUCCUACUUACUUUAU